Molecule: ribosomal RNA, 245 nt
Filed under: uncultured bacterium
Lineage: Bacteria
Description: partial small subunit ribosomal RNA
Rfam family: Bacterial small subunit ribosomal RNA
Source: RNAcentral
AGAAUCAACGCUGGCGGCGUGCCUAACACAUGCAAGUCGCACGAGAAAGGGGAUUCGUCCCUGAGUAAAGUGGCGCACGGGUGAGUAACACGUGAAUUAUCUACCUCCGAGUGGGGAAUAACUGAGAGAAAUCUUAGCUAAUACCGCAUAACACUUACGAGUCAAAGCAGCAAUGCGCUUGGAGAGGAGUUCGCGGCCGAUUAGUUAGUUGGCGGGGUAAUGGCCCACCAAGACGAUGAUCGGUA